UUGUGAAACAGAGAUGUCAGAAGCUCUCCAAAGCUGCCUCCAGUGAAGGCCUGAUUCCUGAGCCUUGUAUAAAAGGAGAUUUGAUCCAGGAUAACAAGAAUAGGAGACACUGAGGCUUGGAGCUGAUUACAUGUCCAUCCUUUGUGGAAGAAUAUAGAAUACAGCAAACUGAGCUGCAAAGGCCCAUCUCAAUUGACAAGGAUCUUGGAGGUGGUGAGGCAGCCCAAGUGGAAAGGCAGCAGAAGGGGUAUCCUUGUUUUACCAAUUACUCAUAUGUAGGAGAUGGUGCAUUAAAUGAAAUAUUCUCUGCUCUCUCCUAACAUCUACCCCCUCACACCAAGAGGAAGGCAUGUCGCCUGAACCUUUGCAGUAUUCAAUUAAAGUUCUAUUCACACGGUAUUGCAGUUGUUUGCUUAUCUUUCUUUCUUAUUAGACUUAAAACUUCUGGAAACUAGAGGCUAUAUUACUUAUUUGCCUCAGAGUCCUGUUGGCCUAUCAAAUGGCACACCUUCAAUCCAAGAAUGAAUUAAUUAAAUAAAUGUGAAGAAAAAAAAAAUCCAAGUUGCUUAUUUUUGUUAAAUUUAUUUUUCCCCAAAAUAUUUACUGAGAAAAUGACUCUGGGAAGAUAGCAGAGUGGAAAGCCCCAGAAAUGUGU
This 655-nucleotide long non-coding RNA is filed under the name Homo sapiens (human). RNAcentral's name for it is "HSALNT0303874". Lineage: Eukaryota; Metazoa; Chordata; Mammalia; Primates; Hominidae. The record is from RNAcentral.